GACAGAGGUGCCAAGCGUUAGGCGGAAUCACUGGGCUUAAAGCGUGUGUAGGCGGGUGCCUAAGUACCUUGUGAAAUCCCACGGCUCAACCGUGGAACUGCUGGGUAUACUGGGUGCCUUGGGUCAUCUAGGGGCUGCCGGAACAAAUGGUGGAGCGGUGAAAUGGCGUAGAUAUCAUUUGGAACGCCAACGGCGAAAGCAGGCAGCUGGGGAUGCACCGACGCUGAGACACGAAAGCCAGGGAGCG
RNAcentral lists this ribosomal RNA (247 nucleotides) under uncultured bacterium. RNAcentral's name for it is "partial 16S ribosomal RNA". It matches the Rfam family "Bacterial small subunit ribosomal RNA", at positions 524 to 770 of the family's 1533-position model. The record is from RNAcentral.